RNAcentral lists this transfer RNA (72 nucleotides) under Camelus bactrianus (Bactrian camel). It matches the Rfam family "tRNA". Rfam says of the family: Transfer RNA (tRNA) molecules are approximately 80 nucleotides in length. Lineage: Eukaryota; Metazoa; Chordata; Mammalia; Artiodactyla; Camelidae. The record is from Rfam by way of RNAcentral. RNAcentral also lists the same sequence under 1 other name.
GGAGGCAAAGUUCAGUGGUAGGGUGUGUGCCUGGCAUACACAAAGUCCUGGGUUCAAUCCCCACUACUUCCA